UACAGAGGUGGCAAGCGUUGUUCGGAAUUACUGGGCGUAAAGGGCGCGUAGGCGGCUUGGUCAGUCCCGUGUGAAAUCCCUCGGCUCAACUGAGGAACUGCACGGGAAACUGCCUGGCUUGAGUUCGGGAGAGGGAAGCGGAAUUCCGGGUGUAGCGGUGAAAUGCGUCGAUAUCCGGAGGAACACCGGUGGCGAAGGCGGCUUCCUGGACCGACACUGACGCUGAGGCGCGAAAGCUAGGGGAGCAAACGGG
Molecule: ribosomal RNA, 253 nt
Filed under: uncultured bacterium
Lineage: Bacteria
Description: partial 16S ribosomal RNA
Rfam family: Bacterial small subunit ribosomal RNA
Source: RNAcentral